RNAcentral lists this long non-coding RNA (225 nucleotides) under Vigna radiata. Its description in RNAcentral is "long non-coding RNA (VRAD_LNC013443)". The record is from RNAcentral. Lineage: Eukaryota; Viridiplantae; Streptophyta; Magnoliopsida; Fabales; Fabaceae.
UCACAUGCUGUAUUAUUUUUUUAAUAAAAAGGUCAAAGACAGUCUUUCCCUCUUUGUAAGUUAGGUUGUGAUGAAGAAGGUUGAUACAAACCUUACAACAAGAUGUUUGGUCAAAAGAUAGAAAUCUUGCGUUCUUGUAAGGUAGGGAGGUUUGACUUCAUCCACUUUUUAUCAUAUUUCUCACAACUUCUUUUAGCAAUCUUCCCCAUCUAAACAACAUAUAUG